GUUGCCAGCAUUUAGUUGGGCGACUCUAAGGGGACGUGCCGGUCGAUAAGCCGAGAGGAAGGUGGGGAGUGACGUCAAGUCCUCCAUGGCCCUUACGGGCUGGGCUACACACGUGCUACAAUGGUGGUGACAGUGGGCAGCGAGCACGCGAGUGUGAGCUAAUCUCCAAAAGCCAUCUCAGUUCGGAUUGCACUCUGCAACUCGAGUGCAUGAAGUUGGAAUCGCUAGUAAUCGCGGAUCAGCAUGCCGCGGUGAAUACGUUCCCGGGCCUU
RNAcentral lists this ribosomal RNA (272 nucleotides) under uncultured Rhizobiaceae bacterium. RNAcentral's name for it is "partial 16S ribosomal RNA". It matches the Rfam family "Bacterial small subunit ribosomal RNA", at positions 1114 to 1382 of the family's 1533-position model. Lineage: Bacteria; Pseudomonadati; Pseudomonadota; Alphaproteobacteria; Hyphomicrobiales; Rhizobiaceae. The record is from RNAcentral.